UCUUCUAAAAUAAAUAUAUUCAAUGCUAUUAAAAGGAAAGUGAAAUAGGGAUAAACAGAACCAUUGGGCACUCAAAAAUCUAUUUUAUUUCGUUUUAGUCUGUAUAUAGAGUCGACAUAAUUUAUAUUUCUUAUAUUUAUAACAGUAUAGUUUCACGCAAUCGGUCGCAAAAGAUUUAUAAAAUAUGUAUUAACCUUAAAUCAGGCAUCGGUAGUCAAUUAUGCAUUGAAACUGGAUACAAAAACAUGGUUAAAAAUGCACAUUCUGAAAACUUUGUAAAGAGAUAUUAAAUCAAGAAGGAUAGUGUAUAUCACUUUGAUUAAUUUACGAUUAACUUCCUUUUUGUUGUAACUUUGCGUCUUGUAAAUAUGGUUUCAUUUGUGCUAUCUGUUUUAACCUUUGCAAUUUGACGUGCACUGCAGGUGCUGUGCAAUAUCAUUUCGCUACGCAUGCGUGCAUAGUAAUGAUAAAUUUAUGAAUGAAUUCAAAAUUACGAGACACGUGCUUAGAUGCACAUUAUCAAAUGUAUGAUCAAAAGAUCGGGAUUAUACGAAACCUGCAAUUGACCGCCGCAUUGCUGAAUUAUUGAAAAGAAGAGUUGGUUUAGAAUCGUUAACUACCGAAUCUCUGAAAGAGCGUCUUGCAAAAUUUAAGGAACAGCGACAAGUUAGACAAGGA
Molecule: long non-coding RNA, 678 nt
Organism: Nomia melanderi (Alkali bee)
Lineage: Eukaryota; Metazoa; Arthropoda; Insecta; Hymenoptera; Halictidae
Source: RefSeq, a predicted model, not a curated record